RNAcentral lists this ribosomal RNA (253 nucleotides) under uncultured bacterium. Its description in RNAcentral is "partial 16S ribosomal RNA". It matches the Rfam family "Bacterial small subunit ribosomal RNA", at positions 524 to 776 of the family's 1533-position model. The record is from RNAcentral.
UACGGAGGGUGCAAGCGUUAUCCGGAUUCACUGGGUUUAAAGGGUGCGUAGGCGGCCCUGUAAGUCAGUGCUGAAAUAUCCCAGCUUAACUGGGAGGGUGGCAUUGAUACUGCGGGGCUAGAGUACAGAUGAGGUAGGCGGAAUUGACGGUGUAGCGGUGAAAUGCUUAGAUAUCGUCAAGAACACCUAUAGCGAAGGCAGCUUACUAGGCUGUAACUGACGCUGAGGCACGAAAGUGUGGGGAUCAAACAGG